AAAUCAGGUGGGACUACCCGCUGAACUUAAGCAUAUCAAUAAGCGGAGGAAAAGAAAAUAACUAUGAUUCCCUUAGUAACGGCGAGUGAACAGGGAAAAGCCCAAAUUUGUA
This 112-nucleotide ribosomal RNA is filed under the name uncultured Melampsora. RNAcentral describes it as "partial 28S ribosomal RNA". It matches the Rfam family "Eukaryotic large subunit ribosomal RNA", at positions 8 to 119 of the family's 3401-position model. Lineage: Eukaryota; Fungi; Basidiomycota; Pucciniomycetes; Pucciniales; Melampsoraceae. The record is from RNAcentral.